Molecule: transfer RNA, 89 nt
Organism: Calocera cornea HHB12733
Lineage: Eukaryota; Fungi; Basidiomycota; Dacrymycetes; Dacrymycetales; Dacrymycetaceae
Rfam family: tRNA
About the family: Transfer RNA (tRNA) molecules are approximately 80 nucleotides in length. Their secondary structure includes four short double-helical elements and three loops (D, anti-codon, and T loops). Further hydrogen bonds mediate the characteristic L-shaped molecular structure. tRNAs have two regions of fundamental functional importance: the anti-codon, which is responsible for specific mRNA codon recognition, and the 3' end, to which the tRNAs corresponding amino acid is attached (by aminoacyl-tRNA synthetases). tRNAs cope with the degeneracy of the genetic code in two manners: having more than one tRNA (with a specific anti-codon) for a particular amino acid; and 'wobble' base-pairing, i.e. permitting non-standard base-pairing at the 3rd anti-codon position.
Source: Rfam
GUUUCCGUAGCACAGUGGUAGUGCAUCGUACUUAUGGGUAACCACAAAUUGGCAUGCGAGGGUCACGAGUUCAAUCCUCGUCGGAAACA